This 1450-nucleotide ribosomal RNA is filed under the name uncultured Bacteroidota bacterium. Its description in RNAcentral is "bacterial SSU rRNA". It matches the Rfam family "Bacterial small subunit ribosomal RNA". Lineage: Bacteria; Pseudomonadati; Bacteroidota. The record is from RNAcentral.
GAUGAACGCUAGCGGCAGGCUUAACACAUGCAAGUCGAGGGGCAGCGGGGAGUAGCAAUACUCUGCCGGCGACCGGCGCAAGGGUGCGUAACGCGUGAGCAACAUGCCCAUAACAGGAGGAUAACCCGGAGAAAUCCGGACUAAUAUUCCAUAGUAAGUAGAUAUCGCAUGGUAUUUACUUUAAAGCUUCGGUGGUUAUGGAUUGGCUCGCGUAACAUUAGUUAGUUGGUAGGGUAACGGCCUACCAAGACGAUGAUGUUUAGGGGUUCUGAGAGGAAGAUCCCCCACACCGGAACUGAGACACGGUCCGGACUCCUACGGGAGGCAGCAGUGAGGAAUAUUGGACAAUGGUCGGAAGACUGAUCCAGCCAUGCCGCGUGCAGGAAGACGGUUCUAUGGAUUGUAAACUGCUUUUGUAGGAGAGCAAUAAGGUCUACGCGUAGACUGAUGAGAGUAUUCUACGAAUAAGCAUCGGCUAACUCCGUGCCAGCAGCCGCGGUAAUACGGAGGAUGCAAGCGUUAUCCGGAUUCAUUGGGUUUAAAGGGUGCGUAGGCGGUUCGGUAAGUCAGUGGUGAAAGUUUGCAGCUUAACUGUAAAAUUGCCAUUGAUACUGUCGAGCUAGAAAGUAGAUGAAGUGGGUGGAAUGUGUGGUGUAGCGGUGAAAUGCAUAGAUAUCACACAGAAUAUCGAUAGCGAAGGCAGCUCACUAAACUAUAUUUGACGCUGAGGCACGAAAGUGUGGGGAUCAAACAGGAUUAGAUACCCUGGUAGUCCACACUGUAAACGAUGAUAACUAGCUGUUUGCGAUAUACCGUAAGUGGCUAAGCGAAAGCGAUAAGUUAUCCACCUGGGGAGUACGCCGGCAACGGUGAAACUCAAAGGAAUUGACGGGGGCCCGCACAAGCGGAGGAACAUGUGGUUUAAUUCGAUGAUACGCGAGGAACCUUACCCGGGCUUGAAAUGCAGAUGAAUAAUUAUGAAAGUAGUUAGCCAGCAAUGGCAUCUGUGUAGGUGCUGCAUGGUUGUCGUCAGCUCGUGCCGUGAGGUGUCGGCUUAAGUGCCAUAACGAGCGCAACCCCUAUCGAUAGUUACUAACAGGUCAAGCUGAGGACUCUAUUGAGACUGCCACCGUAAGGUGCGAGGAAGGUGGGGAUGACGUCAAAUCAGCACGGCCCUUACGUCCGGGGCGACACACGUGUUACAAUGGGAGGUACAGAGGGCAGCUACCACGCGAGUGGAUGCGAAUCUUUCGAAAGCCUCUCUCAGUUCGGAUCGGAGUCUGCAACUCGACUCCGUGAAGCUGGAUUCGCUAGUAAUCGCGCAUCAGCCAUGGCGCGGUGAAUACGUUCCCGGGCCUUGUACACACCGCCCGUCAAGCCAUGGGAGCUUGGGGUACCUAAAGUACGUAACCGCAAGGAGCGUCCUAGGGUAAAACAAGUGACUGGGGCU